CCCUUAGAUGUUCUGGGCCGCACGCGCGCUACACUGACGAAGUCAGCGAGCAUGUCCUACGCCGGCAGGUGCGGGGAAUCUUGUCAAACUUCGUCGUGAUGGGGAUUGAUUAUUGAAAUUCUUGAUCAUCAACGAGGAAUUCCUAGUAAGCGCAAGUCAGCAGCUUGCGUUGAUUACGUCCCUGCCCUUUGUACACACCGCCCGUCGCUACUACCGAUUGAAUGGUUUAGUGAGAUCUUCGGAUUGGCGCCACUGCGGCUCAGCAAUGGGCUCGGUGGAUGCCGAAAAGUUGAUCAAACUUGAUCAUUUAGAGGAAGUAAAAGUCGUAACA
Molecule: ribosomal RNA, 331 nt
Filed under: uncultured eukaryote
Lineage: Eukaryota
Description: partial 18S ribosomal RNA
Rfam family: Eukaryotic small subunit ribosomal RNA
Source: RNAcentral